RNAcentral lists this long non-coding RNA (422 nucleotides) under Marmota monax (woodchuck). Lineage: Eukaryota; Metazoa; Chordata; Mammalia; Rodentia; Sciuridae. The record is from RNAcentral.
AUUGAAAAGAAAACAAACGAUUACAAUAAUCUUCGCAUACAUACAACUUUAAAAGAAAUUAGCCAGGCUAAAGUAUGCAGUGGAUAGUACAAAAAUCAUUUUAACCUGAGCAAUGAUAUUUUCUUCAUGUCUAUGCAGUACUGCUUACCUGUAGUUCUCAAAGUGUGGUCCUCAGACCAGCAAGAUCAGCAUCGCCUCAGUUCUUGUGAGAAAUGCACAUUCCUGGCCCCACCAGAGACCUACUGCAUGGAAAACUCUGGGGUCGGCAAUCUGAGUGCUAACACUCCCUGCAGGUGUUUGGUUCUCUUGUCUGCUAAGGUCUAAGAAAGCUCUGACCUAGUACAGUCCUUAAAUCAGGGGACAUCAUAAACAUCAGUGAAUGGACAAAGUUCUGGUUUAGCAGCACUGGCUCCCCAGAAAUU